GAUGAAGAACGCAGUGAAAUGCGAUAAGUAAUGUGAAUUGCAGAAUUCAGUGAAUCAUCGAAUCUUUGAACGCACAUUGCGCCCGCCAGUAUUCUGGCGGGCAUGCCUGUUCGAGCGUCAUUUCAACCAUCAAGCCCCAGGCUUGUGUUGGGGACCUGCGGCUGCCGCAGGCCCUGAAAACCAGUGGCGGGCUCGCUGUCACACCGGGCGUAGUAGAUUUUAUCUCGCUCAGGGCGUGCUGCGGGUCCCGGCCGUUAAAAGCCUUUUUUUACCCAAGGUUGACCUCGGAUCAGGUAGGGAUACCCGCUGAACUUAAGCAUAUCAAUAAGCGGAGGA
This 336-nucleotide unclassified non-coding RNA is filed under the name soil metagenome. Its description in RNAcentral is "partial contains 5.8S ribosomal RNA, internal transcribed spacer 2, and large subunit ribosomal RNA". The stretch from base 1 to 120 matches the Rfam family "5.8S ribosomal RNA", at positions 35 to 154 of the family's 154-position model. The record is from RNAcentral.